This 497-nucleotide ribosomal RNA is filed under the name uncultured bacterium. Its description in RNAcentral is "partial 16S ribosomal RNA". It matches the Rfam family "Bacterial small subunit ribosomal RNA", at positions 28 to 507 of the family's 1533-position model. The record is from RNAcentral.
GAUGAACGCUGGCGGUGUGCCUAAUACAUGCAAGUCGAGCGAACAGACGAGGAGCUUACUCCUCUGACGUUAGCGGCGGACGGGUGAGUAACACGUGGAUAACCUACCUAUAAGACUGGGAUAACUUCGGGAAACCGGAUCUAAUACCGGAUAACAUGUUGAACCGCAUGGUUCAACAGUGAAAGACGGUCUUGCUGUCACUUAUAGAUGGAUCCGCGUCGCAUUAGCUAGUUGGUAAGGUAACGGCUUACCAAGGCAACGAUGCGUAGCCGACCUGAGAGGGUGAUCGGCCACACUGGAACUGAGACACGGUCCAGACUCCUACGGGAGGCAGCAGUAGGGAAUCUUCCGCAAUGGGCGAAAGCCUGACGGAGCAACGCCGCGUGAGUGAAGAAGGUCUUCGGAUCGUAAACCUCUGUUAUUAGGGAAGAACAAAUGUGUAAGUAACUAUGGACGUCUUGACGGUACCUAAUCAGAAAGCAACGGCUAACUACGUG